RNAcentral lists this ribosomal RNA (484 nucleotides) under uncultured bacterium. RNAcentral's name for it is "partial 16S ribosomal RNA". It matches the Rfam family "Bacterial small subunit ribosomal RNA", at positions 28 to 523 of the family's 1533-position model. The record is from RNAcentral.
GACGAACGCUGGCGGCGUGCUUAACACAUGCAAGUCGAACGAUGAAGCUGGAGCUUGCUCUGGCGGAUUAGUGGCGAACGGGUGAGUAACACGUGAGAAAUCUGCCCUUGACUCUGGGAUAACUGCGGGAAACUGUAGCUAAUACCGGAUACUUUCCCUGGUGGGCAUCCACUGGGGAAGAAAGAAUUUCGGUCAAGGAUGAUCUCGCGGCCUAUCAGCUUGUUGGUGAGGUAAUGGCUAACCAAGGCAACGACGGGUAGCCGGCCUGGGAGGGUGACCGGCCACACUGGGACUGAGACACGGCCCAGACUCCUACGGGGGGCAGCGGUGGGGAAUAUUGCACAAUGGGCGCAAGCCUGAUGCAGCAGCGCCGCGUGAGGGAUGAAGGCCUUCGGGUUGUAAACCUCUUUUAGCAGGGAAGAAGCGAAAGUGACGGUACCUGCAGAAAAAGCACCGGCUAACUACGUGCCAGCCGCCGCCGUAA